This 467-nucleotide ribosomal RNA is filed under the name uncultured bacterium. Its description in RNAcentral is "partial 16S ribosomal RNA". It matches the Rfam family "Bacterial small subunit ribosomal RNA", at positions 28 to 507 of the family's 1533-position model. The record is from RNAcentral.
GACGAACGCUGGCGGCGUGCUUAACACAUGCAAGUCGAACGGAAAGGCCUCUUUCGGGGGGUACUCGAGUGGCGAACGGGUGAGUAACACGUGAGUAACCUGCCCUUGACUUUGGGAUAACUUCAGGAAACUGGGGCUAAUACCGGAUAGGAGCUCCUGCUGCAUGGUGGGGGUUGGAAAGUUUCGGCGGUUGGGGAUGGACUCGCGGCUUAUCAGCUUGUUGGUGGGGUAGUGGCUUACCAAGGCUUUGACGGGUAGCCGGCCUGAGAGGGUGACCGGCCACAUUGGGACUGAGAUACGGCCCAGGCUCCUACGGGAGGCAGCAGUGGGGAAUAUUGCACAAUGGGUGGAAGCCUGAUGCAGCAACGCCGUGUGCGGGAUGACGGCCUUCGGGUUGUAAAACGCUUUCGCUCAUGACGAAGCUUUGUGUGACGGUAGUGGGUAAAGAAGCACCGGCUAACUACGUG